UACAGAGGUGGCAAGCGUUGUCCGGAAUUAUUGGGCGUAAAGAGCUCGUAGGCGGUCUGUCGCGUCGGUCGUGAAAACUUGGGGCUUAACCCUGAGCUUGCGGUCGAUACGGGCAUGACUGGAGUUCGGUAGGGGAGACUGGAAUUCCUGGUGUAGCGGUGAAAUGCGCAGAUAUCAGGAGGAACACCGGUGGCGAAGGCGGGUCUCUGGGCCGAUACUGACGCUGAGGAGCGAAAGCGUGGGGAGCGAACAGG
Molecule: ribosomal RNA, 254 nt
Filed under: uncultured bacterium
Lineage: Bacteria
Description: partial 16S ribosomal RNA
Rfam family: Bacterial small subunit ribosomal RNA
Source: RNAcentral